ACUUCCGCGAAAACUCGCGAGGACUGGAUGUGCUCUAAUGAAUUAUUGAUAUUCAAUCAUUUCGGGAAUGCAGCGAUGACUGACAUUGAUGGCUGUUCAGUUGCGAUCAAUUGAGGAACUUUGUUGCUGCAGCCAUAUUCCACGGCGUAUGGAGAACACAAAGGAUUGAUUCUAAUCCAACAAAAAGCCCCUUUGAUCCGAACGUAAUACUACUGUUGCUGAGAGAGAAUAAUAAUUAUUCUUUGAAGAGAGGCAACAACAGACGAGGAAAAAACAGAGAAAACAAAUCAAAAGAACAACAGCGCUUGUUAUGAGCUGCACAUCCGCGCGGGAUGAAUUUUAAAUUAACUUGGACUGGAUCAAAAAAUUGCUUUGGUGGAAAUAUGUGAGUUUGGAUCACCUUUUGGCGUUGUGUUACAAAGACUGGCGAUGGGGCCGACAUCAAUGCAAAUCAUCGGGUGUCAUUUCCUGGCUGCUUUCGUUUGGGCGUUUUCUGCCAACAUCGGUCAAAAGUGGGUUAGAGUGAAUGUUCCUCAGUAUCGAAUGCCAGGCGAAACAGCCAUGCUGCAGUGUGAUUACGACUUAGGAAACGAUACCCUGUAUGCUGUCAAAUGGUACAAAGAGCAUGAAGAGUUCUACAGGUUCGUCCCCAAAUCACGACCGCAAGCCAACUGGUAUGAAGUG
This is a long non-coding RNA of Leptinotarsa decemlineata (Colorado potato beetle), 684 nucleotides long. NCBI's taxonomy places the organism in Eukaryota, Metazoa, Arthropoda, Insecta, Coleoptera, Chrysomelidae. The record is from RefSeq and is a predicted model, not a curated record.